CUGAAAAGUGGAUAAUGGAUAAUGGCUCCAGAGUCAUAAAUAUAUGCUCUAUAACUUCUAGGGCAUGAUUUGCAGGCGGUUAUAUAUCUGCUCAAAUAAUUAAAAUCACAUAAUGUCGAGAAAAAAGUAACUAAGGUAAAUACGAAAUCACUUUGGUGAUAGUCUACCAAAUUCUUGCAUUCAGUGCCCACUUGAAAAGGGGAAAAAAUAUACCGUCCUUGUACAGCUCGGUAAUGACACACAAUCCACAAGGGAUGG
Non-coding RNA from Paramuricea clavata, 258 nucleotides. Lineage: Eukaryota; Metazoa; Cnidaria; Anthozoa; Malacalcyonacea; Plexauridae. The record is from the annotation of a GenBank genome assembly.